CCUACGGGGGACAGCAGUGAGGAAUAUUGGUCAAUGGGCGCGAGCCUGAACCAGCCAAGUAGCGUGAAGGAUGACUGCCCUACGGGUUGUAAACUUCUUUUAUAAAGGAAUAAAGUGAGGCACGUGUGCCUUUUUGUAUGUACUUUAUGAAUAAGGAUAGGCUAACUCCGUGCCAGCCGCCGCGGUAAUACGGAGGAUCCGAGCGUUAUCCGGAUUUAUUGGGUUUAAAGGGAGCGUAGAUGGGUUGUUAAGUCAGUUGUGAAAGUUUGCGGCUCAACCGUAAAAUUGCAAUUGAUACUGGCAGCCUUGAGUAAGGUUGAGGUAAGCGGAAUUCGUGGUGAAGCGGUGAAAUGCUUAGAUAUCACGAAGAACUCCGAUUGCGAAGGUAGCUUACUAAACUGCCACUGACAUUGAUGCUCGAAAGUGUGGGUAUCAAACAGGAUUAGAUACCCUAGUAGUC
This 460-nucleotide ribosomal RNA is filed under the name uncultured bacterium. RNAcentral's name for it is "partial 16S ribosomal RNA". It matches the Rfam family "Bacterial small subunit ribosomal RNA", at positions 338 to 795 of the family's 1533-position model. The record is from RNAcentral.